UCUGAAAGCAUAGUCUUUGUAAUCAAUCUUAACCUUUGUACACCACCUCCUCAAUACUCAAACAUGGACACCUCCAAGAGUGCAAGCUACAAUGCCGGUGAGGCCAACGCCCGCACCCAGGAAAAGGUCGGACAAAUGACAGAGAAGGCUGGAGACAUGCUUCAAUCUACCAAGGAAUCAAUGCAAGAGGCUGGUUCACAAAUGCAGGCCAAGGCAUCUGAAGCUGCCCAGUCCGUCAAGGACGCCACUGGCAUGAACAAAUGAGCGAGCUGAUGAGCUCCCACCCGAAUAUUAUUUUUCGAACUAGGGUCUAUUAUAAUG
Amaranthus tricolor (Joseph's coat) is the source of this 321-nucleotide long non-coding RNA. RefSeq lists it as uncharacterized. NCBI's taxonomy places the organism in Eukaryota, Viridiplantae, Streptophyta, Magnoliopsida, Caryophyllales, Amaranthaceae. The transcript has 3 exons. The record is from RefSeq and is a predicted model, not a curated record.